GGCUAGUUACCUUUAAGAAACACCAGGCUAGUGGUGGAGGCAGAAAUAUAAGAAGCUAAUUAUGAUACUAGAUGACAAAUAUUCAUGGGAGAAAGGUGCUGAAAAAUACUUAAAGAGGCAGAAAUAUGUUGGGAACCGUUAUAAAGCAUAACUAUGACAGUGCGGCAAUCUGUGUUCUAAAAGAAUGACUCUGGCAGUAGUGUGGAGGGUGGACUGGAAGGAGUAUUUGCUGAAGCCAGCUGCUAUUCUCUGAGCUGCCUCAUGGAAGGGCCCAACUGGCAAGCAACUGAGACAAGCAAUCGUCAGAGAAGAAUGGAUGUACCCCAUCCAAAGUCCUGCAAUGAACUUGAAUGAUCCUGCAAUCUCAGAAUUGAAAGAAUCCUAUCAAAAACAAAGAACUUAUGAGCACAUACUGUACAGUAGAACUUGAGAUGACUGCAGCUCUUGUCUGCACCUUGAAGAUUUGCAAGAGUCCCUGAACUGGAAGACCGCACUAAGCUAUGCUCAGUUUCCUAACCCACUGUAACUACUAUGGAAAUGAUGAUAGACAAAAAGCAAAAUCAAGUGAUUUUCUUAUUCAAGUUCAAAA
This 589-nucleotide long non-coding RNA is filed under the name Homo sapiens (human). Its description in RNAcentral is "HSALNT0343120". The record is from RNAcentral. Lineage: Eukaryota; Metazoa; Chordata; Mammalia; Primates; Hominidae.